GGCUUAACACAUGCAAGUCGAGCGGUAACAGAGAUAGCUUGCUAUCUGCUGACGAGCGGCGGACGGGUGAGUAACGCGUAGGAAUCUACCUAGUAGUGGGGGACAACAGUUGGAAACGACUGCUAAUACCGCAUACGCCCUAAGGGGGAAAGCAGGGGAUCUUCGGACCUUGCGCUAUUAGAUGAGCCUGCGUCGGAUUAGCUAGUUGGUGGGGUAAUGGCCUACCAAGGCGACGAUCCGUAGCUGGUCUGAGAGGAUGAUCAGCCACACUGGGACUGAGACACGGCCCAGACUCCUACGGGAGGCAGCAGUGGGGAAUAUUGCACAAUGGGCGCAAGCCUGAUGCAGCCAUGCCGCGUGUGUGAAGAAGGCUCUAGGGUUGUAAAGCACUUUCAGAAGGGAGGAAAGGUUGUAAGUUAAUACCUUGCAACUGUGACGUUACCUUCAGAAGAAGCACCG
This 459-nucleotide ribosomal RNA is filed under the name uncultured Gammaproteobacteria bacterium. Its description in RNAcentral is "bacterial SSU rRNA". It matches the Rfam family "Bacterial small subunit ribosomal RNA", at positions 45 to 495 of the family's 1533-position model. Lineage: Bacteria; Pseudomonadati; Pseudomonadota; Gammaproteobacteria. The record is from RNAcentral.